RNAcentral lists this ribosomal RNA (3334 nucleotides) under Drosophila persimilis. RNAcentral's name for it is "eukaryotic LSU rRNA". The stretch from base 1 to 2741 matches the Rfam family "Eukaryotic large subunit ribosomal RNA". The record is from RNAcentral. Lineage: Eukaryota; Metazoa; Arthropoda; Insecta; Diptera; Drosophilidae.
UUAAGCAUAUUAAUUAGGGGAGGAAAAGAAACUAACCAGGAUUUUCUUAGUAGCGGCGAGCGAAAAGAAAUCAGUUCAGCACUAAGUCACUUUGUCUAUAUGGCAAAUGUGAGAUGCAGUGUAUGGAGCGUCAAUAUUCUAGUAUGAGAAAUUAACGAUUUAAGUCCUUCUUAAAUGAGGCCAUUUACCCAUAGAGGGUGUCAGGCCCGUAUAACGUUAAUGAUUACUAGAUGAUGUUUCCAAAGAGUCGUGUUGCUUGAUAGUGCAGCACUAAGUGGGUGGUAAACUCCAUCUAAAACUAAAUAUAACCAUGAGACCGAUAGUAAACAAGUACCGUGAGGGAAAGUUGAAAAGAACUCUGAAUAGAGAGUUAAACAGUACGUGAAACUGCUUAGAGGUUAAGCCCGAUGAACCUGAAUAUCCGUUAUGGAAAAUUCAUCAUUAAAGUUGUAAUAUUUUAACAAUAUUAUAAUAAUAGUGUGCAUUUUUUCCAUAUAAGGACAUUGUAAUCUAUUAGCAUAUAACAAAUUUAUCAUAAAAUAUGACUUAUAGUUUAUUCAAAUUAUUAUGCUUGCAUUUUAACAUAGAAUAAAUGUCAUUAAUUUGAUAAAGUGUUGAUAAAUUAAAAUUAAUACAGUGCGUUAAUUUUUCGAAAUUAUAUAAUGGCAUAAUUAUCAUUGAUUUUUGUGUUUAUUAUAUGCAUUUGUAUGAUUAACAAUGCGAAAGAUUCAGGAUACCUUCGGGACCCGUCUUGAAACACGGACCAAGGAGUCUAACAUAUGUGCAAGUUAUUGGGAGAUAAACCUAAUAGCGUAAUUAACUUGACUAAUAAUGGGAUUAGUUUUUUAACUAUUUAUAGAUAAUUAACACAAUCCCGGGGCGUUCUAUAUAGUUAUGUAUAAUAAUAUUUAUAUUAUUUAUGCCUCUAACUGGAACGUACCUUGAGCAUAUAUGCUGUGACCCGAAAGAUGGUGAACUAUACUUGAUCAGGUUGAAGUCAGGGGAAACCCUGAUGGAAGACCGAAACAGUUCUGACGUGCAAAUCGAUUGUCAGAAUUGAGUAUAGGGGCGAAAGACCAAUCGAACCAUCUAGUAGCUGGUUCCUUCCGAAGUUUCCCUCAGGAUAGCUGGUGCAUUUUAAUGUUAUAUAAAAUAAUCUUAUCUGGUAAAGCGAAUGAUUAGAGGCCUUAGGGUCGAAACGAUCUUAACCUAUUCUCAAACUUUAAAUGGGUAAGAACCUUAACUUUCUUGAUAUGAAGUUUAAGGUUAUGAUAUAAUGUGCCCAGUGGGCCACUUUUGGUAAGCAGAACUGGCGCUGUGGGAUGAACCAAACGUAAUGUUACGGUGCCCAAAUUAACAACUCAUGCAGAAACCAUGAAAGGCGUUGGUUGCUUAAAACAGCAGGACGGUGAUCAUGGAAGUCGAAAUCCGCUAAGGAGUGUGUAACAACUCACCUGCCGAAGCAACUAGCCCUUAAAAUGGAUGGCGCUUAAGUUGUAUACCUAUACAUUACCGCUAAAGUAGAUGAUUUAUAUUACUUGUGAUAUAAAUUUUGAAACUUUAGUGAGUAGGAAGGUACAAUGGUAUGCGUAGAAGUGUUUGGCGUAAGCCUUCAUGGAGCUGCCAUUGGCACAGAUCUUGGUGGUAGUAGCAAAUAAUCGAAUGAGACCUUGGAGGACUGAAGUGGAGAAGGGUUUCGUGUGAACAGUGGUUGAUCACGAGUUAGUCGGUCCUAAGUUCAAGGCGAAAGCCGAAAAUUUUCAAGUAAAAAAUCAGUGAGUAAUAUUGUCAAAUCUUUUAUGAUUUUUAAAUACUUGAAUAAUUUUGAACGAAAGGGAAUACGGUUCCAAUUCCGUAACCUGUUGAGUAUCCGUUUGUUAUUAAAUAUGGGCCUCGUGCUCAUCCUGGCAACAGGAACGACCAUAAAGAAGCCGUCGAGAGAUAUCGGAAGAGUUUUCUUUUCUGUUUUAUAGCCGUACUACCAUGGAAGUCUUUCGCAGAGAGAUAUGGUAGAUGGGCUAGAAGAGCAUGACAUAUACUGUUGUGUCGAUAUUUUCUCCUCGGACCUUGAAAAUUUAUGGUGGGGACACGCAAACUUCUCAACAGGCCGUACCAAUAUCCGCAGCUGGUCUCCAAGGUGAAGAGUCUCUAGUCGAUAGAAUAAUGUAGGUAAGGGAAGUCGGCAAAUUAGAUCCGUAACUUCGGGAUAAGGAUUGGCUCUGAAGAUUGAGAUAGUCGGGCUUGAUUGGGAAACAAUAACAUGGUUUAUGUGCUCGUUCUGGGUAAAUAGAGUUUCUAUCAUUUAUGGUAGUUACUUGUUCCCCGGAUAGUUUAGUUACGUAGCCAAUUGUGGAACUUUCUUGCUAAAAUUUUUAAGAAUACUAAUUGGGUUAAACCAGUUAGUUCUUAUUAAUUAUAACGAUUAUCAAUUAACAAUCAAUUCAGAACUGGCACGGACUUGGGGAAUCCGACUGUCUAAUUAAAACAAAGCAUUGUGAUGGCCCUAGCGGGUGUUGACACAAUGUGAUUUCUGCCCAGUGCUCUGAAUGUCAAAGUGAAGAAAUUCAAGUAAGCGCGGGUCAACGGCGGGAGUAAUGUCGUGCAGGUUGUGAUGCUCCCGAAACAACAAACCACAUCCUGCAGAAUUGUUACCGUACGCAUGGGAGGCGGGUAGCAAGACAUAACUGUGUAGUCAAUAACCUUAAGAGGAUUCUUGAGGAGAAGGGCCACACAGUGCACGUCGAACCAAGUUUGCAGCUGGAAACCUCGGUAAGUAAACCAGACCUGGUGUGUAUCCGUGACAAUCACGCUUGCGUGAUUGAUGCGCAGAUUAUAACGGAUGGACUGUUUCUCGACGAUGUGCACCAUCGCAAAGUUGAGAAAUAUAAAAGACCGGAAGUUAUAUCUGCACUGCGGAGAGAAUUCGGAGUGUCGGGCAACGUCGAAGUCCUAUCCGCGACGUUAAACUGGCGUGGGAUCUGGAGCAAUCAAUCCGUUAGAAGAUUGAUAGCAAAGGGUCUCAUCUCAUCCGGUGACAGCAAUGUCAUUAGCGCCAGAGUGGUAACAGGCGGACUAUAUUGCUUCAGACAGUUCAUGUAUCUCGCAGGUUACACUCGAGAUUGGACUUAGCCUAUACACUAUGUUGGCGAGAAGACGCUUGCUACCUAGGCAUAAUGUGAAAUUAGGUAUAAACAUCGUGGUUGUAAAACUUGAGGUGGGUUUUUAGUACGUAUGCGUGAUUACUUCGUAAUCAUGAAUCGUGCAUGCUAGUGGGGUUUGGCCUCCACUAGUAUCUUUGAAGAUUUUCCUUCCUCAGCGAUCAAAAAAAAAAAAA